AUUGAACGCUGGCGGCAGGCCUAACACAUGCAAGUCGAACGGUAACAGGAAGCAGCUUGCUGCUUCGCUGACGAGUGGCGGACGGGUGAGUAAUGUCUGGGAAACUGCCUGAUGGAGGGGGAUAACUACUGGAAACGGUAGCUAAUACCGCAUAACGUCGCAAGACCAAAGAGGGGGACCUUCGGGCCUCUUGCCAUCGGAUGUGCCCAGAUGGGAUUAGCUAGUAGGUGGGGUAACGGCUCACCAAGGCGACGAUCCCUAGCUGGUCUGAGAGGAUGACCAGCCACACUGGAACUGAGACACGGUCCAGACUCCUACGGGAGGCAGCAGUGGGGAAUAUUGCACAAUGGGCGCAAGCCUGAUGCAGCCAUGCCGCGUGUAUGAAGAAGGCCUUCGGGUUGUAAAGUACUUUCAGCGGGGAGGAAGGGAGUAAAGUUAAUACCUUUGCUCAUUGACGUUACCCGCAGAAGAAGCACCGGCUAACUCCGUGCCAGCAGCCGCGGUAAUACGGAGGGUGCAAGCGUUAAUCGGAAUUACUGGGCGUAAAGCGCACGCAGGCGGUUUGUUAAGUCAGAUGUGAAAUCCCCGGGCUCAACCUGGGAACUGCAUCUGAUACUGGCAAGCUUGAGUCUCGUAGAGGGGGGUAGAAUUCCAGGUGUAGCGGUGAAAUGCGUAGAGAUCUGGAGGAAUACCGGUGGCGAAGGCGGCCCCCUGGACG
This 718-nucleotide ribosomal RNA is filed under the name Shigella sp. RNAcentral's name for it is "bacterial SSU rRNA". It matches the Rfam family "Bacterial small subunit ribosomal RNA", at positions 28 to 735 of the family's 1533-position model. The record is from RNAcentral. Lineage: Bacteria; Pseudomonadati; Pseudomonadota; Gammaproteobacteria; Enterobacterales; Enterobacteriaceae.